This 279-nucleotide ribosomal RNA is filed under the name Blautia luti. RNAcentral describes it as "partial 16S ribosomal RNA". It matches the Rfam family "Bacterial small subunit ribosomal RNA", at positions 524 to 803 of the family's 1533-position model. Lineage: Bacteria; Bacillati; Bacillota; Clostridia; Lachnospirales; Lachnospiraceae. The record is from RNAcentral.
UACGUAGGGGGCAAGCGUUAUCCGGAUUUACUGGGUGUAAAGGGAGCGUAGACGGAUGGACAAGUCUGAUGUGAAAGGCUGGGGCUCAACCCCGGGACUGCAUUGGAAACUGCCCGUCUUGAGUGCCGGAGAGGUAAGCGGAAUUCCUAGUGUAGCGGUGAAAUGCGUAGAUAUUAGGAGGAACACCAGUGGCGAAGGCGGCCUGCUGGACUGUUACUGACACUGAGGCACGAAAGCGUGGGGAGCAAACAGGAUUAGAAACCCCGGUAGUCAGGCACU